RNAcentral lists this ribosomal RNA (514 nucleotides) under uncultured bacterium. Its description in RNAcentral is "bacterial SSU rRNA". It matches the Rfam family "Bacterial small subunit ribosomal RNA", at positions 19 to 518 of the family's 1533-position model. The record is from RNAcentral.
AUGGCUCAGAUUGAACGCUGGCGGCGUGCUUAACACAUGCAAGUCGCGCGUGAAGGACUUCGGUCCGAGUAAAGCGGCGCACGGGUGAGUAACGCGUGGAUGAUCUACCCAUGAGUUAGGAAUAACGGCUGGAAACGGUCGCUAAUACCAAAUACGCUCCGAUUUCAACUUCGGGGGAAAGGUGGCCUCUGCUUGCAAGCUACUGCUCAUGGAUGAGUCCGCGUCCCAUUAGCUAGUUGGUGGGGUAACGGCCCACCAAGGCGACGAUGGGUAGCCGGUCUGAGAGGAUGACCGGCCACACUGGGACUGGAACACGGCCCAGACUCCUACGGGAGGCAGCAGUGGGGAAUAUUGCGCAAUGGGCGAAAGCCUGACGCAGCGACGCCGCGUGAGGGAUGAAAGGUCCUCGGAUCGUAAACCUCUGUCAGGAGGGAAGAACCGCCACGGUGCUAAUCAGCCGUGGUCUGACGGUACCUCCAAAGGAAGCACCGGCUAACUCCGUGCCAGCAGCAGC